This 158-nucleotide ribosomal RNA is filed under the name Pseudocercospora protearum var. leucadendri. RNAcentral's name for it is "5.8S ribosomal RNA". It matches the Rfam family "5.8S ribosomal RNA". Rfam says of the family: 5.8S ribosomal RNA (5.8S rRNA) is a component of the large subunit of the eukaryotic ribosome. It is transcribed by RNA polymerase I as part of the 45S precursor that also contains 18S and 28S rRNA. Functionally, it is thought that 5.8S rRNA may be involved in ribosome translocation. The record is from RNAcentral. Lineage: Eukaryota; Fungi; Ascomycota; Dothideomycetes; Mycosphaerellales; Mycosphaerellaceae.
AAACUUUCAACAACGGAUCUCUUGGUUCUGGCAUCGAUGAAGAACGCAGCGAAAUGCGAUAAGUAAUGUGAAUUGCAGAAUUCAGUGAAUCAUCGAAUCUUUGAACGCACAUUGCGCCCUCUGGUAUUCCGAAGAGCAUGCCUGUUCGAGCGUCAUUU